GCUGGGCGCGGUGGCUCACGCCUGUAAUCCCAGCACUUUGGGAGGCUGAGGCAGGCGGAUCACUUGAGGUCAGGAGUUUGAGACCAGCCUGACCAACAUGGUGAAACCACUUCCUUACUAAAACUACAAAAAUUAGCUGGGCAUGGUGGUGGACGCCUGUAAUCUCAGCUACUUGGGAGGCUGAGGCAGGAGAAUUGCUUGAACCUGGGAGCUGGAGUUUGCAGUGAGCAGAGAUCGUGCCACUCCAGCCUGGGCAAGAGAGUGAGACCCUGCCUCA
This 277-nucleotide small RNA is filed under the name Gorilla gorilla gorilla (western lowland gorilla). RNAcentral describes it as "Metazoan signal recognition particle RNA (ENSGGOG00000027783.2)". The record is from RNAcentral. Lineage: Eukaryota; Metazoa; Chordata; Mammalia; Primates; Hominidae.